GGGCUUGACAUCCCACGAACCUGCCUGAAAGGGUGGGGUGCCCGCAAGGGAGCGUGGAGACGGGUGGUGCAUGGCUGUCGUCAGCUCGUGUCGUGAGAUGUUGGGUUAAGUCCCGCAACGAGCGCAACCCUCACCCCUAGUUGCGACCGGGUUAUGCCGAGCACUCGAGGGGAACUGCCCCGGUCAACGGGGAGGAAGGCGGGGAUGACGUCAAGUCAUCAUGCUCCUUACGUCCUGGGCUACACACGUGCUACAAUGGCCGGUACAAAGGGAUGCCACACCGCGAGGUAGAGCUAAACCCAAAAAGCCGGUCUAAGUUCAGAUUGGAGUCUGCAACUCGACUCCAUUAAGGAGGAAUCGCUAGUAAUCGCGCAUCAGCACGGCGCGGUGAAUACGUUCCCGGGCCUUGUACACACCGCCCGUCACAUCACGAAAGUCGGCUGUACUCGAAGUCGCUGAG
Molecule: ribosomal RNA, 460 nt
Filed under: uncultured Methylomirabilota bacterium
Lineage: Bacteria; Methylomirabilota (SeqCode)
Description: bacterial SSU rRNA
Rfam family: Bacterial small subunit ribosomal RNA
Source: RNAcentral